GACAGAGGGGGCAAACGUUGUUCGGAAUUACUGGGCGUAAAGCGCGUGUAGGCGGCUCGGAAAGUCGGAUGUGAAAGCCCUGGGCUUAACCUAGGAAGUGCAUUCGAAACUCCCGAGCUUGAGUUCUGGAGAGGAAGGCGGAAUUCUCGGUGUAGAGGUGAAAUUCGUAGAUAUCGAGAGGAACACCGGUGGCGAAGGCGGCCUUCUGGACAGUGACUGACGCUGAGACGCGAAAGCGUGGGGAGCAAACAGG
Molecule: ribosomal RNA, 253 nt
Filed under: uncultured bacterium
Lineage: Bacteria
Description: partial 16S ribosomal RNA
Rfam family: Bacterial small subunit ribosomal RNA
Source: RNAcentral